AUUGAACGCUGGCGGCAGGCCUAACACAUGCAAGUCGAGCGGAAGAAGGGAGCUUGCUCCUGGAUUCAGCGGCGGACGGGUGAGUAAUGCCUAGGAAUCUGCCUGGUAGUGGCGGAUAACGUCCGGAAACGGGCGCUAAUACCGCAUACGUCCUGAGGGAGAAAGUGGGGGAUCUUCGGAUCUCUCGCUAUCAGAUGAGCCUAGGUCGGAUUAGCUAGUUGGUGGGGUAAAGGCCUACCAAGGCGACGAUCCGUAACUGGUCUGAGAGGAUGAUCAGUCACACUGGAACUGAGACACGGUCCAGGCUCCUACGGGAGGCAGCAGUGGGGAAUAUUGGACGAUGGGCGAAAGCCUGAUCCAGCCAUGCCGCGUGUGUGAAGAAGGUCUUCGGAUUGGAAAGCACUUUAAGUUGGGAGGAAGGGCAGUAAGUUAAUACCUUGCUGUUUUGACGUUACCAACAGAAUAAGCACCGGCUAACUUCGUG
This 484-nucleotide ribosomal RNA is filed under the name uncultured bacterium. RNAcentral describes it as "partial 16S ribosomal RNA". It matches the Rfam family "Bacterial small subunit ribosomal RNA", at positions 30 to 507 of the family's 1533-position model. The record is from RNAcentral.